This 568-nucleotide ribosomal RNA is filed under the name metagenome. RNAcentral describes it as "bacterial SSU rRNA". It matches the Rfam family "Archaeal small subunit ribosomal RNA", at positions 899 to 1467 of the family's 1478-position model. The record is from RNAcentral.
GGUUUAAUUGGAUUCAACGCCGGAAAACUCACCAGAGCCGACGGACAAAUGAAAGCCAGUGUGAUGAGCUUGCUGGAUUGUUCGAGAGGUAGUGCAUGGCCGUCGUCAGUUCGUACCGUAAGGCGUUCUGUUAAGUCAGAUAACGAACGAGACCCUCAUCCCUAUUUGCUAAGGUUACUCCGGUAGAUCACAGGACUAUAGGGAGACCGCUGGCGCGAAGUCAGAGGAAGGCGAGGGCAACGGUAGGUCAGUAUGCUCCGAAUGCACUGGGCUACACGCGCAAUACAAAGGACGGGACAAUGGGCCGCUGCUCCGAGAGGAAUGUGGCUAUCCCGAAACCCGUUCGUAGUUCGGAUUGAGGGCUGUAACUCGCCCUCAUGAAGCUGGAUUAGGUAGUAAUCGCGUCUCAAAAAGGCGCGGUGAAUAUGCCCCUGCUCCUUGCACACACCGCCCGUCAAACCAUCUUAGUUGGGGGUGGGUGAGGCUGCCUUUUAGUGGGGUAUUCGAGCCUGCCUUCGACAAGGAGGGUUAAGUCGUAACAAGGUAUCUGUAGGGGAACCUGCAGAUG